UACGUAGGGUGCGAGCGUUAAUCGGAAUUACUGGGCGUAAAGCGCACGUAGGCGGCUUUUUAAGUCAGGGGUGAAAUCCUGGAGCUCAACUCCAGAACUGCCUUUGAUACUGAGAGCUUGAGUCCGGGAGAGGUGAGUGGAACUGCGAGUGUAGAGGUGAAAUUCGUAGAUAUUCGCAAGAACACCAGUGGCGAAGGCGGCUCACUGGCCCGGUACUGACGCUGAGGUGCGAAAGCGUGGGGAGCAAACAGGG
Molecule: ribosomal RNA, 253 nt
Filed under: uncultured bacterium
Lineage: Bacteria
Description: partial 16S ribosomal RNA
Rfam family: Bacterial small subunit ribosomal RNA
Source: RNAcentral